UGGGGAAUAUUGGACAAUGGGCGCAAGCCUGAUCCAGCCAUGCCGCGUGCAGGAUGACGGUCCUAUGGAUUGUAAACUGCUUUUGUACAGGAAGAAACAGUUCUACGUGUAGAACCUUGACGGUACUGUAAGAAUAAGGAUCGGCUAACUCCGUGCCAGCAGCCGCGGUAAUACGGAGGAUCCAAGCGUUAUCCGGAAUCAUUGGGUUUAAAGGGUCCGUAGGCGGUUAGAUAAGUCAGUGGUGAAAGCCCAUCGCUCAACGGUGGAACGGCCAUUGAUACUGUCUGACUUGAAUUAUUAGGAAGUAACUAGAAUAUGUAGUGUAGCGGUGAAAUGCUUAGAGAUUACAUGGAAUACCAAUUGCGAAGGCGGGUUACUACUAAUGGAUUGACGCUGAUGGACGAAAGCGUGGGUAGCGAACAGGAUUAGAUACCCCGGUAGUCCCUGAGCGGGCUGGCAAGGCGCAU
This 467-nucleotide ribosomal RNA is filed under the name uncultured bacterium. Its description in RNAcentral is "bacterial SSU rRNA". It matches the Rfam family "Bacterial small subunit ribosomal RNA", at positions 355 to 825 of the family's 1533-position model. The record is from RNAcentral.